Molecule: ribosomal RNA, 164 nt
Filed under: Polylepis rugulosa
Lineage: Eukaryota; Viridiplantae; Streptophyta; Magnoliopsida; Rosales; Rosaceae
Description: 5.8S ribosomal RNA
Rfam family: 5.8S ribosomal RNA
About the family: 5.8S ribosomal RNA (5.8S rRNA) is a component of the large subunit of the eukaryotic ribosome. It is transcribed by RNA polymerase I as part of the 45S precursor that also contains 18S and 28S rRNA.
Source: RNAcentral
UAAACAACUCUCGGGAACGAAUAUCUCGACUCUCGCAUCGAUGAAGAACAUAGCGAAAUGCGAUACUUCGUGUGAAUUGCAGAAUCUUGUGAACCAUCGAGUCUUUGAACGCAAGUUACGCCAAAAACCAUUAGGCCGAGGGCACGUCUGCCUGUGGGUCACAC